GUGAUCCGAUAGAGUAUCGUGUCAACCAGACAGAUACUAUGAUUUCUUAGUCCAGGAUGGUGAUCCUGUUGAAUUUGAUAGGAACAAUGAGGAUCCAAUCAUCUAUAUGGAUGCAAUGAAGAGGUCUAACUCUGAGAAAUAGCUUAAAGUCAUGAAAUUCAAAAUGGAGUCCAUGAAGGUCAACAGUGUGUAGAUACUUGUUGAUCCACUCAAAGGGAUAAAAUUCAUAGGAUGUAAGUAGAUCUUCAAAAGAAAAAAGGGGCAC
RNAcentral lists this long non-coding RNA (265 nucleotides) under Elaeis guineensis (African oil palm). RNAcentral's name for it is "long non-coding RNA (EGUI_LNC069932)". The record is from RNAcentral. Lineage: Eukaryota; Viridiplantae; Streptophyta; Magnoliopsida; Arecales; Arecaceae.